RNAcentral lists this transfer RNA (87 nucleotides) under Pseudobdellovibrionaceae bacterium. RNAcentral's name for it is "Bdellovibrionaceae bacterium tRNA-Leu". It matches the Rfam family "tRNA". Rfam says of the family: Transfer RNA (tRNA) molecules are approximately 80 nucleotides in length. Lineage: Bacteria; Pseudomonadati; Bdellovibrionota; Bdellovibrionia; Bdellovibrionales; Pseudobdellovibrionaceae. The record is from RNAcentral. RNAcentral also lists the same sequence under 1 other name.
GCCCGGGUGGCGGAAUCGGUAGACGCAGUGGAUUCAAAAUCCACCGAUCGCAAGAUCUUACGAGUUCAAGUCUCGUCUCGGGUACCA